GAUGAACGCUAGCGAUAGGCUUAACACAUGCAAGUCGAGGGGCAGCACAAGGUAGCUUGCUAUCUGGGUGGCGACCGGCGCACGGGUGCGUAACGCGUAUGCAACUUGCCCUAUACAGGAGGAUAACCCGUCGAAAGACGGACUAAUACUGCGUAUGCUCACAACUUGGCAUCAAGUGGUGAGGAAAGAAAUUCGGUAUAGGAUAGGCAUGCGUCCCAUUAGCUUGUUGGUGAGGUAACGGCUCACCAAGGCAACGAUGGGUAGGGGAACUGAGAGGUUUAUCCCCCACACUGGGACUGAGACACGGACCAGACUCCUACGGGAGGAAGCAGUGAGGAAUAUUGGUCAAUGGGCGCGAGCCUGAACCAGCCAAGUCGCGUGAAGGAUGACUGUCUUAUGGAUUGUAAACUUCUUUUAUACGGGAAGAACAAGAGUCACGUGUGACUCCCUGCAUGUACCGUAUGAAUAAGCAUCGGCUAACUCCGUG
Molecule: ribosomal RNA, 487 nt
Filed under: uncultured bacterium
Lineage: Bacteria
Description: partial 16S ribosomal RNA
Rfam family: Bacterial small subunit ribosomal RNA
Source: RNAcentral